AGGCGACGACGGGUAGCCGGCCUGAGAGGGUGACCGGCCACACUGGGACUGAGACACGGCCCAGACUCCUACGGGAGGCAGCAGUGGGGAAUAUUGCACAAUGGGCGCAAGCCUGAUGCAGCGACGCCGCGUGAGGGAUGACGGCCUUCGGGUUGUAAACCUCUUUCMGUAGGGAAGAAGCGAAAGUGACGGUACCUGCAGAAGAAGCGCCGGCUAACUACGUGCCAGCAGCCGCGGUAAUACGUAGGGCGCAAGCGUUAUCCGGAAUUAUUGGGCGUAAAGAGCUCGUAGGCGGUUUGUCGCGUCUGCCGUGAAAGUCCGGGGCUCAACUCCGGAUCUGCGGUGGGUACGGGCAGACUAGAGUGAUGUAGGGGAGACUGGAAUUCCUGGUGUAGCGGUGAAAUGCGCAGAUAUCAKGAGGAACACCGAUGGCGAAGGCAGGUCUCUGGGCAUUAACUGACGCUGAGGAGCGAAAGCAUGGGGAGCGAACAGGAUUAGAUACCCUGGUAGUCCAUGCCGUAAACGUUGGGCACUAGGUGUGGGGGACAUUCCACGUUUUCCGCGCCGUAGCUAACGCAUUAAGUGCCCCGCCUGGGGAGUACGGAA
RNAcentral lists this ribosomal RNA (606 nucleotides) under Arthrobacter sp. CMT249. RNAcentral's name for it is "bacterial SSU rRNA". It matches the Rfam family "Bacterial small subunit ribosomal RNA", at positions 271 to 887 of the family's 1533-position model. Lineage: Bacteria; Bacillati; Actinomycetota; Actinomycetes; Micrococcales; Micrococcaceae. The record is from RNAcentral.